UUCCGGUUGAUCCCGCCAGAGGCCACUGCUAUCGGAGUACGACUUAGCCAUGCGAGUCACAGGGGCGCAAGCCACUGGCAGACGGCUCAGUAACACGUAGGUAACCUACCCUUCGGACGGGCACAACCCCGGGAAACUGGGGCUAAUUCCCGAUAGGUACCCCCUUCUGGAAUGUGGGGAUAUCCAAAGCUCCGGCGCCGAAGGAUGGGCCUGCGGCCGAUUAGGUUGUUGGCGGGGUAACAGCCCACCAAGCCGACGAUCGGUACGGGCAGUGAGAGCUGUAGCCCGGAGAUGGGGACUGAGACAAGGCCCCAGGCCCUACGGGGCGCAGCAGGCGCGAAACCUUCACAAUGCACGAAAGUGUGAUGAGGGUACUCCGAGUGCGCAUACAUUGUAUGUGCUUUUCUGCAGCGUAAAUAGUUGCAGGAAUAAGGGCUGGGCAAGACCGGUGCCAGCCGCCGCGGUAACACCGGCAGCCCUAGUGGUGGCCGCUUUUAUUGGGCCUAAAGCGUCCGUAGCCGGACAGGCGAGUCUUUGGGUAAAUCCUACGUCUUAAGCGUGGGAAUUCUAAAGAUACUACCUGUCUUGAGGCCGGGAGAGGCUGGAGGUACUCCUGGGGUAGGGGUAAAAUCCUAUAAUCCUGGGGGGACCACCGAUGGCGAAGGCAUCCAGCUGGAACGGGCCUGACGGUGAGGGACGAAACCCAGGGGAGCGAGCCGGAUUAGAUACCCGGGUAGUCCUGGGCGUAAAUGAUGUGGGCUUGGUGUGAGCGCAUCGACGAGGUGCGCUUGUGCCGUAGGGAAGCCGUUAAGCCCACCGCCUGGGGAGUACGGUCGCAAGGCUGAAACUUAAAGGAAUUGGCGGGGGGGGCACAAUCGUCGAGCG
Molecule: ribosomal RNA, 885 nt
Filed under: uncultured archaeon
Lineage: Archaea
Description: bacterial SSU rRNA
Rfam family: Archaeal small subunit ribosomal RNA
Source: RNAcentral